CCCUCCUCUUGGACAUAUUUUGGGACAUCAAUUUUGAUUAGAAAUGUUUCCCUCGUUGGCAAGAACCUCCCAGAUCAACUCAGGAUCAAAAGAAGGCAUUCUUGCGAGCGAGCAGCCAUCAAAAUCAUUGUUCUCUGGCAUCAUCAUUGGAUAAUCUGUAGAAACAGAUGGGGAAGAAUUUUCACAUUUCCAUAACCCAUCUUCAGAUACUGUUGGUGAGAGCAAUUCACCACCCCAGUUGUCACCAAAAACAAUAGGUGACAAAGAUGAUGAGGUUGCCGAUGACGAAUUUGAGUUUACCUUCACCACUUUAUCACCACCCUCAAAAUCAUUAGAAUCAAGGUUACUCUUCUUCGCUGUGCUCUUUUUGGACCUCUCUCUUUUCACCUUUUGGCAAAUAGCAUGAAUCUUGGCGUCCACUGAACUCUUCAAAGCAUCCAUUCUAUUGCAAUCUGUGAAUCCUAACUUGCUGGGAUCCUUUAGAUUUGGGAAAUUCAAUCGCGCAUAUUCGCCUCUAAGCUUAUAAGCAGCACGAUCAUAAGCAUAAGCUGCAGCUUCUGCAGUCUGGUAAGUACCUAACCAGACUCUUAUUCUGUUUUGAGGGAGUCUUAUCUCCGCUACCCAUUUCCCCCAAUGCCUCUGCCUGACUCCCCUGUAUAGUUUCUUCUUAGUUGGACUUGGAGUUAAAUAAUUGCUUGCCCGCACUGAAUUUUGAAGUGAGCUUGUCAGCAAAUUGCGAGAAAACGAACUACUGCUACUUCUUCUGUUUUCAUCGCAAAAUUUUUGCAAGAGAUCUCUCUGGCGGAGAUAGACUGAAGAACCUAAAGGCUCAGAAAGAGGGUCGCUAAUGGUGUUUUCUGGAGGGCAAUGGGAGAAAAUUGAAUCUAACGGGUUACUGCCUCCAGCCAAUUUGAGUUGCGAUAGCGAGGACCCGAUAUCGGCAGUAUUGGCGAAUCCAAAAGGAACGUUUUCUUGCAUUCUGUCCAUGGUUUGUCAAAAUUUUUAUGGAGAUUGUGUUGCUACCUGAACAGACGAAACAGAGAGAAAUCGAAAUGAAAAUGAAUGUGAAAGAAACAGGAACUCAAAAAAUUUGUCCCUUCUCCUCCUUCAAGAAUAAAAAAUGCGUUCCCGGAAGAAACCAGAUGCAAGCAAAAACAGCAAAGCUAUGAUCUAACUUGAAAACAGAGUGAUUUGAAGAAACAUGCGAAUUAAAGAAAAUAUCGAAGAGAAUUAGAGAGAGAGAUUAAAGCUG
RNAcentral lists this unclassified non-coding RNA (1252 nucleotides) under Hevea brasiliensis (rubber tree). The record is from RNAcentral. Lineage: Eukaryota; Viridiplantae; Streptophyta; Magnoliopsida; Malpighiales; Euphorbiaceae.